CGCGUAGGCGGCCCGCUAAGUCGAACGUGAAAUCCCCGGGCUCAACCCGGGAACUGCGUCCGAUACUGGCAGGCUUGAAUCCGGGAGAGGGAUGUGGAAUUCCAGGUGUAGCGGUGAAAUGCGUAGAUAUCUGGAGGAACACCGGUGGCGAAGGCGGCAUCCUGGACCGACACUGACGCUGGGGCGCGAAAGCUAGGGUAGCAAACG
This 207-nucleotide ribosomal RNA is filed under the name uncultured bacterium. Its description in RNAcentral is "partial 16S ribosomal RNA". It matches the Rfam family "Bacterial small subunit ribosomal RNA", at positions 568 to 774 of the family's 1533-position model. The record is from RNAcentral.